Long non-coding RNA from Gallus gallus (chicken), 2874 nucleotides. NCBI's taxonomy places the organism in Eukaryota, Metazoa, Chordata, Aves, Galliformes, Phasianidae. The record is from Ensembl.
ACAGCACACCCUCUUGAAACAAUUCCCUUCUGAAUUUCCUGCAGGACACAAAGCAGGCAGAGCUGGCACAGCUCUAUGUUGCAAAGCAGCCCACACCCCAGGACUUCGUUGUACGAAUAUGUCCAAGUGUGCCUCUGCAGGAAAAUGAAGAUGUGAUUUCACCAGAGCUAUAGCAGUGGGACUGCAGAAGCAGCUGUGGGUCAUGGCCUAUGGACUUGCACAGGAGGGCGAUGUGCAGGCUGCAAUUUGAAGAUCGGAAGAACAGAACUGUGACAGCAACAAGAGGGGGAUUUGCCAUCUUCAAACAGCGCUUUACAACCGCAACAGCCAAGAUGAGAAACUGAGGCACAAAUUGCUCCCAACACCCAGAUUUCCCAGAUUAUUUGGCUUGGAAAUAACAUUGAGGAUCAAUCACAGCCAUUUGGAGACAGACCCAGAAUGCACCACAGAAGUGCUGUGAAUCCUUCUUCAUUUCUUGGCUGAAGUGGCAACCAGAUCCUCAGCAUCCUCACCCAAGUUUGCGCCCUCAACACAGCGUGGCCCUCUGCCAGCUGGCAGGUAAGACGAGGAUAGAGCACUUGCUCAGAGGAUGGUUUUUCACUUGGCACUGCUGUGCCCGGGACCAGGCUCCAAAAGCAAGCACAAGGGAACUCGUUAAGUACAACAGGAUGCGAUUAGUCCCACAUGGGGAGCUCAUGUGUUAUAUCAAAAGAAACAACAACCAGCUGGUAGAACUACUUACAUCAAGGAAAGGAAUGGUGAGGAGGAGAGCUGAGGAGAGCAGUGACCACCAGGAGAGCGAGUACUGGGUAUGAGACAAGAAGCUUUUGGAUCUACGUGGGCAUGACUGCACCCCGGUCAAGGGGACAACGUGACACACAAAGGAGGUGACCCUGCAGCGUGACAGAUCUGAAUGCACGGAGUACAGAUGGAGCAUCUCCGAGGGAUGUGGUCUGAGGAAUCACAAGUGAAAUUGAUGAGAACUUGAUGCAACACCAAGCACUUUUAUCAGAAUUUCAAUGGAAAUUCCAAGCAAAGCAGGUUGGAUGACAAGCACAUGAACACCGACCUUGGGAAGAGCAACUAUGCAUGUUGGUGGUAGGACAUAAGUGCUGCACAGCCCCUUCCAGGAGCACCUGGAGAUGCUUCCAGAAGACUCUGCCUGGACACAGUGUGCUGCUUGACCACAUCUGCCUGUUGUAAAGCGAAGUACCUAAAGCAAGCCAAAUUCAUGGAAGGCGAAGCACUUAUUUAGUGCAAUUUAGCAGUCACCUGUGCACCUGGGAAAUCUGCUUGGUGCUAAAGGUUUGCCUGAGCCCUGGUUCUGUGAGGAUAAAUGAGAACGUGUGUUGGGCAAGAGCAGCAGGAGGCAGCCAGAUCUGCACUGAGCUAACCUCAUCCCACCCAGUAUGCAAGAAAUGUAUCUGUGAAGAACUACUCGUACAACUGUGUUCAUCAGCAAAGACUUACAUUAGUGCACAGCUUCCAUUACGCCUAACUGAAACCAAAGAGAGUCAGCUCGUCUUGGACUUCAUAGCAGAGCCCAGUGAGGAUGAAAGAUCACCCCUUGUUAACAGCAAGGGGCUCAUAGGAGACUGGUGUCAGCAGCAGCAAAAAGGAAGGAGAGCGAGGCGUGCAGGAGCAGAGCAGACAUCCUUCUCACCAUCUCUUCCACGACUGUUGAACUGCUUCCUCUAAGAGAUUAAGAUGACGACCUGUCCUGCUGUCUCCGGGCUGGGAGAUAAGGUCUAUCUCUGCAUCCCAACUGUCCUCGCUGGGGAACUGCAAGGAGUGGUGCUGACAGGAGUGCAGCAAGGGAGGAGAUGGGGAGAGCAGUGAGCAGCAAAUGGAAAAUUCUGGCACUGCGGGGCUGAGCGAGAGUGUCACUGCUGACAUCACUAAAAGUAGGAUCAAACCUGAUCUAAAAAGCAAUUUGGAAUAUGAGCUUUUCUUUCCAAAUGAGCGGUAAGUGCCUUCCUUCACACGGAAUCCGGUGCAGUAAUAGUGGCUUCUAUUACACUUUAAAUUGAUUGGCUUUAUGGCCCAGAACUGGGGAAUUGCCCUAGCCUGAUCUCGGCGGGCUCAUGUUUCUAAUUCUGGCAACUCUAAAUCCGGAUGCCCUGAAAAUCCGUGCUGUUGCUUACAGUGUGUGCUGUUAUCUCCAUUUUCAUGUGUCCGGGCAAAAUAAAGGAGCCGGGAUGCACAGAAGAUUGGCCAAAAGGUGAAAAGGAAACCAGGAAAGCAAGCUAGCGAGUGCAGAAGGAAAAGUUUACAUGCAGAGUUCAUCCAUGUAUAAUCUUGAAUGAUUAUUAGAGAAUGGCUUGGGUUGGAAGGAACCUCCAUGAUCAUCCACUUCCAACCCCAUGCUAUAGACUGGUUGCCAACUGCUAGACCAGGCUGUGCACAGUCCCAACCAGCCUGGCCAUGAAUGCCUCCUUUGUAUUUGCAUUAUCCAAGACCUUUUGUAUGAGAGCGAGGUAGCAUCUCUGUGUCCUUCCAUUGGGGUCUGAAGGACAUGGAUGGAGAGAUGCAGACACCACCACGCUUCUGAGCCCACGUCAAUCCUUUGCACGGCCUGUGUGCAGCCCCAUUUAGGACAUCAGAACCUGUAUUUGUGCCACCAGGUUAAAAAAUAGCCCCACUGAAAGGAAAAGCUUAACAAGGUGCAGCACAUCGGCAUGAAGGAAAGAGCAGCUGAUGGGCUGCAGAGUGACUUGGAGGAGCUCCCACCCUGUGCUGGAGCAGAGCUCAUAACUCCGGCUCACACGGAGGACGUGCCCUGGGGGAAUUAUUCUACCUUUGAUCCGCACACGAAAUCCCAGCUGCUGUCAGAGGAGCCGUGCAUGCCUAACCACGGCUGUACAUCAUCCUAAU